UGCGGUCGUGGCGGAAUUGGUAGACGCGCAACGUUGAGGUCGUUGUGGCCGAAAGGCCGUGGAAGUUCGAGUCUUCUCGACCGCACCAU
RNAcentral lists this transfer RNA (89 nucleotides) under Sphingobium indicum UT26S. RNAcentral's name for it is "Sphingobium japonicum UT26S tRNA-Leu (GAG)". It matches the Rfam family "tRNA". Rfam says of the family: Transfer RNA (tRNA) molecules are approximately 80 nucleotides in length. Their secondary structure includes four short double-helical elements and three loops (D, anti-codon, and T loops). Further hydrogen bonds mediate the characteristic L-shaped molecular structure. tRNAs have two regions of fundamental functional importance: the anti-codon, which is responsible for specific mRNA codon recognition, and the 3' end, to which the tRNAs corresponding amino acid is attached (by aminoacyl-tRNA synthetases). tRNAs cope with the degeneracy of the genetic code in two manners: having more than one tRNA (with a specific anti-codon) for a particular amino acid; and 'wobble' base-pairing, i.e. permitting non-standard base-pairing at the 3rd anti-codon position. The record is from RNAcentral. Lineage: Bacteria; Pseudomonadati; Pseudomonadota; Alphaproteobacteria; Sphingomonadales; Sphingobiaceae.